GACGAACCGUGCGAACGUUGUUCGGAUUCACUGGGCUUAAAGGGCGCGUAGGCGGCGCGGUAAGUCACUUGUGAAAUCUCUGAGCUUAACUCAGAACGGCCAAGUGAUACUGCAGUGCUAGAGUGUGGAAGGGGCAAUCGGAAUUCUUGGUGUAGCGGUGAAAUGCGUAGAUAUCAAGAGGAACACCUGAGGUGAAGACGGGUUGCUGGGCCAACACUGACGCUGAUGCGCGAAAGCCAGGGGAGCAAACGGG
RNAcentral lists this ribosomal RNA (253 nucleotides) under uncultured bacterium. RNAcentral describes it as "partial 16S ribosomal RNA". It matches the Rfam family "Bacterial small subunit ribosomal RNA", at positions 524 to 776 of the family's 1533-position model. The record is from RNAcentral.